UCUGCAACCCGGCUACAUGAAGCUGGAAUCGCUAGUAAUCGCGGAUCAGAAUGCCGCGGUGAAUACGUUCCCGGGUCUUGUACACACCGCCCGUCACACCAUGGGAGUCGGAAAUGCCCGAAGUCAGUGACCUAACCGAAAGGAAGGAGCUGCCGAAGGUGGAGCCGGUAACUGGGGUGAAGUCGUAACAAGGUAAC
Molecule: ribosomal RNA, 197 nt
Filed under: uncultured bacterium
Lineage: Bacteria
Description: partial 16S ribosomal RNA
Rfam family: Bacterial small subunit ribosomal RNA
Source: RNAcentral